This 258-nucleotide ribosomal RNA is filed under the name uncultured bacterium. RNAcentral's name for it is "partial 16S ribosomal RNA". It matches the Rfam family "Bacterial small subunit ribosomal RNA", at positions 333 to 585 of the family's 1533-position model. The record is from RNAcentral.
GAACCUACGGGGCGCAGCAGUAGGGAAUCUUCCACAAUGGACGAAAGUCUGAUGGAGCAACGCCGCGUGAGUGAAGAAGGGUUUCGGCUCGUAAAGCUCUGUUGGUAGUGAAGAAAGAUAGAGGUAGUAACUGGCCUUUAUUUGACGGUAAUUACUUAGAAAGUCACGGCUAACUACGUGCCAGCAGCCGCGGUAAUACGUAGGUGGCAAGCGUUGUCCGGGUUUAUUGGGCGUAAAGCGGGUGCAGGCGGUUCAAUA